CCUACGGGAGGCAGCAGUAAGGAAUAUUGGACAAUGCUCGCAAGAGUGAUCCAGCCAUGCCGCGUGCAGGAAGAAUGCCCUAUGGGUAGUAAACUGCUUUUGAACUAGAGAAAAUCCCAGUACGUGUACUGGGCUGAUAGUAUAGUUAGAAUAAGCAUCGGCUAACUUCGUGCCAGCAGCCGCGGUAAGACGAAGGAUGCAAGCGUUAUCCGGAUUCAUUGGGUUUAAAGGGAGCGUAGGUGGACUGAUAAGUCAGUGGUGAAAUCUCCGAGCUUAACUCGGAAAUUGCCAUUGAUACUGUUGGUCUUGAGUACAGUUGCUGUGGGCGGAAUAUGACAUGUAGUGGUGAAAUACAUAGAGAUGUCAUAGAACACCGAUUGCGAAGGCAGCUCACAAAGCUGUAACUGACACUGAGGCUCGAAAGUGCGGGGAUCAAACAGGAUUAGAUACCCUGGUAGUCCGCACCGUAAACGAUGAUUACUCGCUGCUAGGGGGCAACCUUUAGUGGCUUAGCGAAGCGANAAGUAAUCCACCUGGGGAGUACGCCGGCGACGGUGAAACUCAAAGGAUUGACGG
Molecule: ribosomal RNA, 576 nt
Filed under: uncultured bacterium
Lineage: Bacteria
Description: bacterial SSU rRNA
Rfam family: Bacterial small subunit ribosomal RNA
Source: RNAcentral